This 506-nucleotide ribosomal RNA is filed under the name Ahasverus sp. BYU CO771. RNAcentral describes it as "partial 16S ribosomal RNA". It matches the Rfam family "Bacterial large subunit ribosomal RNA", at positions 1819 to 2600 of the family's 2925-position model. The record is from RNAcentral. Lineage: Eukaryota; Metazoa; Arthropoda; Insecta; Coleoptera; Silvanidae.
GUCUUUUUGAUAUGAUAAAAGGUCUGGCCUGCCCACUGAUGACUUGAAUGGCUGCAGUAAUUUGACUGUACAAAGGUAGCAUAAUCAUUAGUUUUUUAAUUGAAAGCUGGAAUGAAAGGUUGGAUGAAAAAAUUACUGUCUCAAGUUGAUUUUUUGAAAUUUAUUUUUGAGUAAAAAAGCUUAAGUGUUUAUUAAAGACGAGAAGACCCUAUAGAAUUUUAUAUUUAUAUAUGAUUGGUUUUUUUAGUAUUAAUUGAGUAAUUAUUUAUAGUAUUUGGUUGGGGUGAUUAUAAAACUUAAUAAGCUUUUAUUUUUUAUUUACACUGAUUGGUGGUUAAUUGAUCCAUUUUUUAUGAUUAAAAGAUUAAAUUACCUUAGGGAUAACAGCGUAAUUUUUCUUGAGAGUUCUUAUCGAUAGAAGAGUUUGCGACCUCGAUGUUGGAUUAAAAUUUAUUUUGGGUGUAGAAGCUCAAAUAUUAGGUCUGUUCGACCUUUAAAAUUUUACA